UACAGGGGGGGCAAGCGUUGUUCGGAAUUACUGGGCGUAAAGGGUUCGUAGGCGGCCGGCUAAGUCCGACGUGAAAUCCCCAGGCUUAACCUGGGAACUGCGUCGGAUACUGGCGGGCUUGAAUCCGGGAGAGGGAUGCGGAAUUCCAGGUGUAGCGGUGAAAUGCGUAGAUAUCUGGAGGAACACCGGUGGCGAAGGCGGCAUCCUGGACCGGCAUUGACGCUGAAUAGCGAAAGCCAGGGGAGCAAACGGG
Molecule: ribosomal RNA, 253 nt
Filed under: uncultured bacterium
Lineage: Bacteria
Description: partial 16S ribosomal RNA
Rfam family: Bacterial small subunit ribosomal RNA
Source: RNAcentral